This 560-nucleotide ribosomal RNA is filed under the name uncultured bacterium. RNAcentral describes it as "bacterial SSU rRNA". It matches the Rfam family "Bacterial small subunit ribosomal RNA", at positions 38 to 581 of the family's 1533-position model. The record is from RNAcentral.
AGCGGCAGGCCUAACACAUGCAAGUCGAGGGGUAACAUGGUCUUCGGACUGCAUGACGACCGGCGCACGGGUGCGUAACGCGUAUGCAAUCUACCCUUAUCUGGAGAAUAGCCCGAAGAAAUUCGGAUUAAUGCUCCAUAGGUAUUUUAGAGUGGCAUCACUUUAAAAUUAAAGCUUCGGCGGAUAAGGAUGAGCAUGCGUCCUAUUAGUUACCUUGGUGAGGUAACGGCUCACCAAGGCAGCGAUACGUAGGGGGCCUGAGAGGGUGAUCCCCCACACUGGUACCGAAGACAGGGACCAAGAUUCCUACGGGAGGCAGCAGUGACGAAUAUCGGUCAAGUGAGGCGAACAGUCUGAACCAACCAUGCCGCGUGCAGGACGACGGCCCUACGGGUUGUAAACUGCUUUUAUAUGGGAAUGAGACCCUCGAACGUGCACGCAGGCUGAGAGGUACCAUACGAUUUAAUGGAUCGUGCUAACUCCGUGCCAACAGCCGCGGUAAUACCGAGGAUCCAAGCGUUAUCCGGAUUCAUUGGGUUUAAAGGGUCCGCAAGCGGCAU